This 484-nucleotide ribosomal RNA is filed under the name uncultured bacterium. RNAcentral's name for it is "partial 16S ribosomal RNA". It matches the Rfam family "Bacterial small subunit ribosomal RNA", at positions 30 to 507 of the family's 1533-position model. The record is from RNAcentral.
AUUGAACGCUGGCGGCAGGCCUAACACAUGCAAGUCGAGCGGAUGAAGGGAGCUUGCUCCUGGAUUCAGCGGAGGACGGGUGAGUAAUGCGUAGGAAUCUGCCUGGUAGUGGGGGAUAACGUCCGGAAACGGGCGCUAAUACCGCAUACGUCCUGAGGGAGAAAGUGGGGGAUCUUCGGACCUCACGCUAUCAGAUGAGCCUAGGUCGGAUUAGCUAGUUGGUGGGGUAAAGGCCUACCAAGGCGACGAUCGGUAACUGGUCUGAGAGGAUGAUCAGUCACACUGGGACUGAGACACGGUCCAGACUCCUACGGGAGGCAGCAGUGGGGAAUAUUGGACGAAGGGCGAAAGCCUGAUCCAGCCAUGCCGCGUGUGUGAAGAAGGUCUUCGGAUUGUAAAGCACUUUAAGUUGGGAGGAAGGGCAGUAAGAUAAUACCUUGCUGUUUUGACGUUACCAACAGAAUAAGCACCGGCUAACUUCGUG